Dermacentor andersoni is the source of this 295-nucleotide non-coding RNA. The record is from RefSeq and is a predicted model, not a curated record. NCBI's taxonomy places the organism in Eukaryota, Metazoa, Arthropoda, Arachnida, Ixodida, Ixodidae.
CUCAUCCCGGGUGCGCACGGGCGAAGAGAGCAUACUGGUCGAGUCCUGGAAGCGGCUAGCGAGGAGAGUCGGUUCACGGCUGAGCCUGGUUCAAGUUCCCUCGCAAAACCUCGAGCCCAUCCAUAGAGCAGCGCGCUACAUUAGGGAGGUAUUCUACUAAACGCGUCCUACACGCAGUCUACUUAAUCGCAAAGUUGAUAUUAAUACCAAUAUACUAGCACAAACUGAAUUGCGUAUUGGUACAUGAAGAAUAAAGAAUAUAAUUUUCCCUGAGUAAAUAUUGUCUGCUUCCUAA